CUAGCUGCGAGAAUUAAUGUGAAUUGCAGAACACAUUGAACAUCGACACCUUGAACGCAUAUGGCGGCCUCGGGUCCAUCCCGGGGCCACGCCCGUCUGAGGGUCGGCG
RNAcentral lists this ribosomal RNA (109 nucleotides) under Scolodonta sp. 1 RR-2010. RNAcentral's name for it is "partial 5.8S ribosomal RNA". It matches the Rfam family "5.8S ribosomal RNA", at positions 49 to 154 of the family's 154-position model. From Rfam's summary of the family: 5.8S ribosomal RNA (5.8S rRNA) is a component of the large subunit of the eukaryotic ribosome. It is transcribed by RNA polymerase I as part of the 45S precursor that also contains 18S and 28S rRNA. Functionally, it is thought that 5.8S rRNA may be involved in ribosome translocation. RNAcentral also lists the same sequence under 1 other name. Lineage: Eukaryota; Metazoa; Mollusca; Gastropoda; Stylommatophora; Scolodontidae. The record is from RNAcentral.